GCCGCCAUUUUGUGCAGCGGGCAGCGAGGCGCCCGCGCGCCAGCGGGGAGCGGCGCCAUUUCCUGCCCUCCCCCGGCGCGCGCCGGCAGCGCCUGAGGCGGCGGGGACGGGACGGGCACGGUGAGGGGAAGGGCAGCGCCCCCGGGCCCCCGGGAGCGGAUCCGCCUCGGCCGGGGCCAUCCGCGCUCCCUUGGGCCCUGCGCGGGCCCCGCGGGGCCGCACGGCCGGGCCCGGGACUGUGGGCGCUCUGCCCUUCCCUUCCCGGCCUCCUGCCGCAUUAUCUCCGCUGCCAUGCCAGCCCGGCUCUGGGGGAGAAGGACGCUCUGCUUAAGGCUGUGCUUGGGAGUGUUGUCCUUACCAGAUUUUUAGAAUCCUUGUCUAUCCCCGCUGGACUACGUGACAUCUCAGGAAAUCAUUGAUCAGCCACUUGAUGUGUUAACAUACCUGGAGUUCAACUACCUUCAGGUAAUGAAAUAAAUUGUUUUCAAAUCUAA
This is a long non-coding RNA of Onychostruthus taczanowskii (white-rumped snowfinch), 494 nucleotides long. RefSeq lists it as uncharacterized. The transcript is spliced from 2 exons. Lineage: Eukaryota; Metazoa; Chordata; Aves; Passeriformes; Passeridae. The record is from RefSeq and is a predicted model, not a curated record.